GACGAACGCUGGCGGCGUGCUUAACACAUGCAAGUCGAGCGGUAAGGCUCCUUCGGGAGUACACGAGCGGCGAACGGGUGAGUAACACGUGAGCAAUCUGCCCUUCACAUGGGAAUAACUUCGGGAAACCGAAGCUAAUACCGAAUACGACCACCGAUGGCAUCUUCUGGUGGUGGAAAGUUCCGGCGGUGAAGGAUGAGCUCGCGGCCUAUCAGCUUGUUGGUGAGGUAAUGGCCCACCAAGGCGACGACGGGUAGCCGGCCUGAGAGGGUGACCGGCCACACUGGGACUGAGACACGGCCCAGACUCCUACGGGAGGCAGCAGUGGGGAAUAUUGGACAAUGGGCGAAAGCCUGAUCCAGCAACGCCGCGUGAGGGAUGACGGCCU
This 388-nucleotide ribosomal RNA is filed under the name uncultured bacterium. RNAcentral's name for it is "bacterial SSU rRNA". It matches the Rfam family "Bacterial small subunit ribosomal RNA", at positions 28 to 417 of the family's 1533-position model. The record is from RNAcentral.